UGGGGAAUAUUGCGCAAUGGGGGAAACCCUGACGCAGCAACGCCGCGUGCGGGAUGAAGGCCUUCGGGUUGUAAACCGCUUUCAGCAGGGAAGACAUCGACGGUACCUGCAGAAGAAGCCCCGGCUAACUACGUGCCAGCAGCCGCGGUAAUACGUAGGGGGCGAGCGUUAUCCGGAAUUAUUGGGCGUAAAGCGCGCGCAGGUGGUUUAGAAAGUCUGAUGUGAAAGCCCACGGCUCAACCGUGGAGGGUCAUUGGAAACUAAUAAACUUGAGUGCAGGAGAGAAAAGUGGAAUUCCUAGUGUAGCGGUGAAAUGCGUAGAGAUUAGGAGGAACACCGGUGGCGAAAGCGGCUUUUUGGCCUGCAACUGACACUGAGGCGCGAAAGCGUGGGGAGCAAACAGG
Molecule: ribosomal RNA, 404 nt
Filed under: Verrucomicrobiota bacterium
Lineage: Bacteria; Pseudomonadati; Verrucomicrobiota
Description: Verrucomicrobia bacterium partial 16S ribosomal RNA
Rfam family: Bacterial small subunit ribosomal RNA
Source: RNAcentral